CUUGGAAGCAGCCAUUCAUUUAAAGAGUGCGUAACAGCUCACUAGUCGAGCGGUUCUGCAUGGAUAAUACACGGGCAUAAGCAUACAGCCGAAGCUAUGGACUCAUCGAAAGGUGAGUGGUAGGAGAGCAUUCCAUUUAGCGUUGAAGCAGUAUCGUGAGGUAUUGUGGAGCAAAUGGAAAAGCAAAUGUAGGCAUAAGUAACGAUAAUGCGGGUGAGAACCCCGCACGCCGAAAGGUCAAGGAUUCCCCGGCAAUGUCAAUCAACCGGGGGUAAGUCGGGUCCUAAGUCGAAGCCGAAGGGCGUAGACGAUGGCCAACAGGUUAAUAUUCCUGUACUCAUAUAUGCUGCGAUGCAGGGACGUAGUAGUGACACCGCUGCGUACAGACGAAAUAGUACGUUGAAGCCUUUAUCUGUCGAUGCUGAUAGUUAAGUACGUCAGCAGAGGAAAGGGGUGAUAGUACCGCAAGGCUUCGGCUGCGCGGAUAAUGCGGGUAAUCAGACUACCAAGAAAAUCUGCUAAGCUUCAGGCAUAUAUGACCCGUACUGUAAACGGACACACGUGACCGGGUAGAGAAUACUAAGGCGCUCGAGAUAUUCAUGGCUAAGGAACUAGGCAAAAUGGUCCUGUAACUUCGGGAUAAAGGACGCUGGGGUAAAAUCCAGCCGCAGUAAAAUGGCCCAGGCGACUGUUUACCAAAAACACAUGGCUAUGCUAAAUCGUAAGAUGAUGUAUAUGGCCUGACACCUGCCCGGUGCUGGAAGGUUAAGAGGAGGGUUUAGUAGCAAUACGACGAUCUGAAUUGAAGCCCCAGUAAACGGCGGCCGUAACUAUAACGGUCCUAAGGUAGCGAAAUUCCUUGUCGGGUAAGUUCCGACCUGCACGAAUGGUGUAACGAUCUGGGUACUGUCUCAACCAUGAGCUCGGUGAAAUUGUAGUUCCGGUGAAGAUGCCGGAUACCCGCAACGGGACGGAAAGACCCCGUGAACCUUUACUGCAGCUUUGCAUUGAUUUUGGGUAAGUGAUGUGUAGGAUAGGUCGGAGGCAUUGAAAUGGCAUCGUCAGGUGUCAUGGAGCCGCUGUUGAAAUACGACCCUUUACUUAUCUGAGGUCUAAUCUCCUUAGUGGAGAGACAUUGCAUGGUGGGUAGUUUGACUGGGGUGGUCGCCUCCAAAAGCGUAACGGAGGCUUCUCAAGGUACCCUCAUGGCGUUUGGUAAUCGCCAGUAGAGUGCAAUGGCAUAAGGGUGCUUGACUGUGAGACCCACAAGUCGAUCAGGUUGGAAACAAGAGCAUAGUGAUCCGGUGGUUUCCGUAUGGAAGGGCCAUCGCUCAAAGGAUAAAAGGUACUCCGGGGAUAACAGGCUGAUCGCUCCCAAGAGCUCAUAUCGACGGAGCGGUUUGGCACCUCGAUGUCGGCUCGUCACAUCCUGGGGCUGGAGAAGGUCCCAAGGGUUCGGCUGUUCGCCGAUUAAAGUGGCACGCGAGCUGGGUUCAGAACGUCGUGAGACAGUUCGGUCCCUAUCUGUUGUGGGCGCAGGAUAUUUGCGGAGAUCUGACACUAGUACGAGAGGACCGUGUUGGACGCACCUCUGGUGCAUCAGUUGUGAUGUCAAUUGCAUUGCUGAGUAACUACGUGCGGAAAGGAUAAGCGCUGAAAGCAUCUAAGCGCGAAGCCAACUUCAAGAUGAGAUAUUCUUUUAAGGGUCGUUUAAGACGAAGACGUAGAUAGGUUGCAGGUGUAUAGUCGGUGACGGCACAGCUGAGCAAUACUAAUCACCCGAUAGCUUCAUUA
RNAcentral lists this ribosomal RNA (1794 nucleotides) under human gut metagenome. Its description in RNAcentral is "bacterial LSU rRNA". It matches the Rfam family "Bacterial large subunit ribosomal RNA", at positions 1105 to 2925 of the family's 2925-position model. The record is from RNAcentral.